UACAGAGGGUGCAAGCGUUGUUCGGAAUUACUGGGCGUAAAGAGCGUGUAGGCGGUUAUGAAAGUCAGAUGUGAAAUCCCCGGGCUCAACCCGGGACGUGCAUUUGAAACUCCAUAGCUAGAGUGUGGUAGAGGAUAGUGGAAUACCUAGUGUAGUGGUGAAAUACGUAGAUAUUAGGUAGAACACCGGUGGCGAAGGCGGCUAUCUGGGCCAUAACUGACGCUGAGACGCGAAAGCGUGGGGAGCAAACAGG
RNAcentral lists this ribosomal RNA (253 nucleotides) under uncultured bacterium. Its description in RNAcentral is "partial 16S ribosomal RNA". It matches the Rfam family "Bacterial small subunit ribosomal RNA", at positions 524 to 776 of the family's 1533-position model. The record is from RNAcentral.